This 301-nucleotide ribosomal RNA is filed under the name uncultured bacterium. RNAcentral's name for it is "partial 16S ribosomal RNA". It matches the Rfam family "Bacterial small subunit ribosomal RNA", at positions 509 to 807 of the family's 1533-position model. The record is from RNAcentral.
CAGUCGCCACGGGAAUACGGAGGGUGCAAGCGUUAAUCGGAAUUACUGGGCGUAACGCGUGCGUAGGCGGUUCGUUAAGUCUGUUGUGAAAGCCCCGGGCUCAACCUGGGAAUGGCAAUGGAUACUGGCGAGCUAGAGUGUGUCAGAGGAUGGUGGAAUUCCCGGUGUAGCGGCGAAAUGCGUAGAGAUCGGGAGGAACAUCAGUGGCGAAGGCGGCCAUCUGGGACAACACUGACGCUGAGGCACGAAAGCGUGGGGAGCAAACAGGAUUAGAUACCCCUGUAGUCCCUGUCUCUUAUAC